This 252-nucleotide ribosomal RNA is filed under the name uncultured bacterium. RNAcentral's name for it is "partial 16S ribosomal RNA". It matches the Rfam family "Bacterial small subunit ribosomal RNA", at positions 524 to 776 of the family's 1533-position model. The record is from RNAcentral.
UACGUAGGGGGCAAGCGUUAUCCGGAUUUACUGGGUGUAAAGGGUGCGUAGGUGGUUUCUUAAGUCAGAGGUGAAAGGCUACGGCUCAACCGUAGUAAGCCUUUGAAACUGGGAAACUUGAGUGCAGGAGAGGAGAGUGGAAUUCCUAGUGUAGCGGUGAAAUGCGUAGAUAUUAGGAGGAACACCAGUUGCGAAGGCGGCUCUCUGGACUGUAACUGACACUGAGGCACGAAAGCGUGGGGAGCAAACAGG